Molecule: ribosomal RNA, 887 nt
Filed under: uncultured archaeon
Lineage: Archaea
Description: bacterial SSU rRNA
Rfam family: Archaeal small subunit ribosomal RNA
Source: RNAcentral
AGUCACUGCUAUCCGGUUCCGACUAAGCCAUGCAAGUUUUGAUGUUCAACUCUGAACACCAGGGCGAAAAGCUCAGUAACACGUAGUUAAUCUGCCCUUAUGUCUGGGAUAAUCUCGGGAAACUGAGGCCAAUACCAGAUAGAUAAGAGAUACUGGAAUGUGCUCUUAUCAAAAGCUAUAUGCGCGUAAGGAUGAGACUGCGCCGGAUUAGGUUGUUGCUGGGAUAAUACCCCGGCGAGCCGAUAAUCCGUACGAGCCUUGAGAGAGGGAGCUCGGAGAUGGAUUCUGAGACAAGAAUCCAGGCCCUACGGGGCGCAGCAGGCGCGAAAAUUUCCCAAUGCACGAAAGUGUGAGGAAGGGAUCCGGAGUGUCUUCCAUUAUAUGGGGGACUUUUGUGGAGUGUAAAAAGCUUCAAGAAUAAGUGGUGGGUAAGACGGGUGCCAGCCGCCGCGGUAAUACCCGCGCCACGAGUGGUGACCAUUUUUAUUGGGCUUAAAGCGUUCGUAGCCGGUCCAGAAAGUCUCUAGUGAAAUCCCGCAGCCAACUGCGGGGCUUGCUAGGGAAACUUCUAGACUUGAGACCGGGAGAGGUCGAGGGUAUUCCAGGGGUAGGGGUAAAAUCCUGUAAUCCUUGGGAGACCAUCUGUGGCGAAGGCGCUCGACCAGAACGGAUCCGACGGUGAGGGACGAAAGCUAGGGGAGCAAAGGGGAUUAGAUACCCCCGUAGUCCUAGCUGUAAACGAUGCCCACUAGACAUUGGCAAUCUCAUGGGGGUUGCCAGUGCCGUAGCGAAAGCGUUAAGUGGGCCGCCUGGGGAGUACGGUCGCAAGGCUGAAAUGGAAGGAGUCUGAAUAAUUUCAUGAUUUCAACCCUUGCUUGCGACGGUUA